CACAUGGAUAUUAAUAAUAACCCGUUAAAACAACAUGUCAAUGUAUUUAUACAACACCAUAUUCGUGACAGGGGCACUAGUUUAUGUAACAGCAGUGUGUACCCUCACUGGUUACCUCAGCAGAGGUUAUAACUAGCCAACCUUGAGAACUUUGAACAACAGACCCGUGGACUUGAGCGAAUAUAAAAUGCAAGAUUGUGUUAUGAUAUGCCUACUUCUGAGUUAAGAUUCUGCGAUGACCACCGUGUGCAUAAUUUAAAUCACUCCAAUGAGGGUGGGCUUGCCCCAGUGACUGAGCAAGACGGGGGGAUAGCUCGCAUGUUAGCAGCUAAUUGCAUGACAUUUAAACUAGCUCUGGAGCUAGCUAAAACCACUUGUGGCGCCAACUGUACUGUUGGUGGUACUAUUCGUGGUCUUUCGACGUUCGUCCAGGUUUGAUACAAGUUAUGCUGUGUAUGAAAAACACAACGCCCAUUUGUUUUGAUUCAAAGGAUCAACGGAUUUGAAGUUAUUUGAGGAAUCUGACACAGCUAUUGGUGAGGACGUUUUCCAAUACCUCAUCACAGAUAACCUACACAUCUGCCUGGUGGCAAAACCUUUUGAUGACAACGUGUUUCCCUGGAGUCCCACCCAGCCCGCUGAAGCAGCCUUCCCAGCCCAGCCUUCCCAGCCCAGGCUUCCCUUCCCAGGCUCAUCAGUCCGAUGGUGCAGAGAUGGCUAAAAGGCCAAAGGAGGAUUCCGGUUGUUCUGGAGAACAGUGCAGGAGGACAGGAAAUAAUGGAGGAGGAGUAUAGGAGAUCCAGCACCUGCACUCAUGGCACGUUUUGAAGAGGCAGCGAAGGACACGAAGGACACACAGGAUCGCCAGCCAUACCUCCUUGCACUUCCAGGGUCCCAUGUGAAGCUUAUCAAUUGGCGAUGGAUUGAUACUGGCACACAGUAGAGCCAGUUACGCUGGUGGGCCUGCCCUGGGCUGGGCUGGACCUAAAGGUACUAACGGUGUUUUCACCGACAGGUGGUUAGAUGCGAAAGGGGGCUGGUGGCCCAGGUUUCGGGGCGUAGGGCCAGUAUUCCUGGCCCUUCAAAGUCUAUGGGCCAUCAAGGGCCGGAGGGCCAGAGGCGGGGUUUACAUCAUGGUGGGAUCUUAUUUGUCCUAGCGAAAUGCGAAAACAAUGCGGCGACACAGCUUUUUGAUCUGCAGAAACGAAUUAGUUAAACUUCAAUUGGCUUACAUUUUUUCUGUGGCCCAAUAGCCGACAUCGUUUUAUUUGUUAUCGUUUCAUAUUUUCCCCUAUUGCUGCUGGUUGUUCAGUGAGCCUCCCUUAUGUUUCUCCCUGGUGUCCGCAAGUCGGGAAUAAUCUUAUCCCUGAUUUAUUUGAAAUUCUAGUAAGAGCGUGCAUGCACCUCGUGCAUCAUAGAAUGCUUCGCUUAGAUUACGCAGGUAUACAAGAGAG
This is a long non-coding RNA of Engraulis encrasicolus (European anchovy), 1454 nucleotides long. RefSeq lists it as uncharacterized. NCBI's taxonomy places the organism in Eukaryota, Metazoa, Chordata, Actinopteri, Clupeiformes, Engraulidae. The record is from RefSeq and is a predicted model, not a curated record. The transcript is spliced from 5 exons.